RNAcentral lists this long non-coding RNA (6755 nucleotides) under Sus scrofa (pig). RNAcentral describes it as "lncRNA (ENSSSCG00055016451.1)". Lineage: Eukaryota; Metazoa; Chordata; Mammalia; Artiodactyla; Suidae. The record is from RNAcentral.
AAAUCAUUUUAUUAAAUACUAAAAAUUGGAAAUAUACUAAAUAUCUUAAAUUUCUGUCUUCAACAGAGGAAAAAAAAAUCAAUGAACUAAAACUAUAUAAAAACAUGGAUGGAUCUACAAUUAAAAUGUUGAGUGUAAAAAUCAAGAUGGUAAAGAAUUUAUAAAAAAUAUAAAAACUAUAUAUGUUUUAAAAUAUAUAAAGCUAUAUGAUAUAUAUAUAUACACACACACACAUCAUACACAAAUACAUGAAAAAUACAUAGAAUGAUAAACCACAAAUUUGCAAUAGUUACAACUUGAAGUUUGUCAGUAAUGGUGAUCUUAGAAAGCUCACAGAGGUUUUAGCUGCUUUGACAAAGUUCUAUUUUUUUAUUAUUUAAUGAAUGUUGGGUUUUAAAAGAUUACUAUAUUAUAUUCAAUAUAUUUUUAUAAAUUUUUACUAAUGUUUUAUAAUAAAACAAUAUUAAGAAACAUUCUAGUGGAAUUUUUAUUCAUUUAUUAAAUCUGACAAGGUUUGAAGGAGUUUUUAAUCUUCAGUUUCCUUAAUCAAACAGCAAAAUUAAAUCCUUUUAAUAAACUUUUUUAGUAAUCAAAAUGGUCCUAGAAAUAUGAGUCCAAUGCAAAGAUUACUUUUGGCUAUGAUAAAACUAAACAAAUGGAACAUGUAAUGUGAGAAAAAAGAAUGUAUACAUGUAUGUGUAACUGGGUCACCAUGCUGUAGGGUAGAAAAAAUAAUAAUAAAAAGGUUAAAAAAAACCCAAAAAACUAAACAGUAAAUUGUCAACUGAAACCAGAUAUUAGGGGCCAGAUGAAUAAAGAGGUACCAUUAGGUUUUUACCAAGCAUUUCAAUGGAUGCUGAAGAAAUAUUAGGCAACCAAACCGACAGCAGCCCUGCUCUCAAAAUGGUGUAUGUUUCGCAGAGAAAAUAGAGGCAAAUUAAAUACUCACACAAUGAAAAGAAAAUUGAACUCCUAUUUAAUGGUCCUAAGGAAAGGUAAAAGGUCCUAUAAAAAAUAUAUCCAAGAGAACUGAUCAGAGAGGUUAGGAAUGGUCUCUUGGUGGGAAAGUGCUAAAUCAGCUACCUAUAGGACAAACAAAGGGAUGAGGAAAAAGCAAGUUCAAAGACCUUGUGUCUGGAGUAUAGAGAUCAAAGUCUGUAAUCAAAUUGGUGAAUAUUAGAAAGACAAAAAACAGAAACAUUUUAAUUCUGACUUUAACUCGUCAACUCUCCAAUCAUUAUUCUUUAUACAGCAAUCUUUAGUAAUUUAUUCAUCUUUAGUCUUUGAGUGUCUACUGAUGUAAACAGACUAAAGAAAAGCUACUUGUGUAAGACUGCAGCAUAUACCUAUCACUAAAUCUUGAACAUCAUUAAUAAAUGUGAACAUUGUUAAUGUUUGAAAAUAUUUUCAACAUAUAAAAUCUAUCUCUGUAAAGGCAUUCUCUGCAAUCUAAUUGCAGUUUAAUAAAUGUUGUUGAUUUUUAAAUCUCAUUUUAAAUCUUUUUUUUUUUUUUUUUUUUGGUGGGUAGAGACUGAAAAGAGCUGGAAAAUUGUUCCUUGCUAACAUGAAAAGAUGCAAAAGAUAGUACAGUACUUUGUGUCUUUUCGCUAUUAAAAGCAUGUUAUUAACUAUCAUUUAACUCUGACUUGUCAGAGGAUAGAACAAUUGAUAUUUUUAAUACUCCAGAAAGGAUUGUCACUUUAUAAAGUUUCUUACUUUAAGGGUCUCAAUAGCUUUCUACAUGAACUAAAUUACACCAAUUUUCACUAUUCAGCCUGUGAUGGCAUAACAAUAUAACAUUAAAUAUAUUUCGGGUAUAAGAAAAUGACUGUAUGGGGAUCUAAGAAUAAGUAAUUUAUCUUGCAUUUUUUAAAGAAAAAUAAUGAUUAGUUCGGUUCUAUUCUUUAUAGUCGUAGACAGUCUCAUUCUCUCCACAUCACUGUUCAAACACAAGAUUUUUCUGAUUUUAUGAAAACCAUCUGGGACAUUACAUUUGCUUCAUAAUGGGAGGAAUUAAGAUAAGUAUCAUAAAUAAUGUUCAUUGGAAUUGAGUACAUUCUGUUUUUCCCUCUGCUCUCUCCCCCUAUACUCGCCAGAUGUAAUAGAAAGAGUUCCAGAUCUGGGUGUAAAAUUUGGGGUUUAUACUCCAAUUUCAGCAUUUAGGAGCUGUGUUACACUGGGUCUAAGAUUCUCAAUCUGCCAAGUUAGAAUAAUAAUAAUACUUACUUUACAAGAAUUAUUCUAAGAAUAAAUGGAAUGGCAUGUAUAUAAGCACAACUUGAAACAUCUUGGAAGUGGGGUUCUUGUCUUAAGGUCCAUGUGUAGUCUUAGUAAUAUGUGGGGCACUCUCUUGCAUCUGGGAUAUGCUCAAUUUACAUAUGAAAAAUAAGAUCAAACCAAAAAAGCUAAAGUUAAAACAAAACACAUAUUGGGAUUAACAUCUGAAAAAAAGUCUUCACUUUGUAAGUAAUUUGAGGGGAUAAAUGAAAAAUAGACCAUCUUCUACCAAAGCUAUUAAGAAAUUUCACACAGUCUUAAGGGGCAGAUUGACACAACAGUAUGUAUUUCCCCAAUUUUUUUCUGAUAAAACUAAAGGACAUUUCAUACUUCACUUAUACUAUAUGUCUUUGGAAAGGAAGUAUCUUGGAGAUGUGUGUUGGACUAUGAUUGAUCAUAGAAGGGACUGAAUUGGAUUCAUGUCAACAAGGGAAGCAUCCUUGGAGAAAAAUGUAUUUUUCUCUGUUCUUCAUUCCCUUAAGGAAAAAUGUAAACUAUUAAGAAGUCCUUGGUCUUGAGUUUUAGAGAAGAAUGAUUCACAGAUAUGAGUGAGUAGAAUCAAUCCUCUUAAAUUGGAAAAUAAUGAAAAAAUUGUCAUUUAUUUCUAAAGCAGAAACUGCUGCUAAUAUACAGGUAACAAUUUAAGAGUUUUGGUAUUUUAAAAUAUUUCAGAAAACUUUUUCAUAUAUAUCUAAAUCAUUUGUAUGUACAGAUAUAUUAAACUUUCUAAAUAGCAGUCAUUUGUAUUUCAGACAAGUACAGUAUCAGACAAAAUGAGACAUCUGGUAGUCUACAGGAAAACAUGAGCUUGAGGAUCUAAGGAAAAUUCACAAUAGAGAAGGAUAAUAAAAGAGUAAAAAUAAACCAUAUGUUGCUAAUGAUUUAGAAUGUGAGAAGCAUUUUUCAAAGCUGAGGUCUACUACAUAUGGAUUCAAUUUGCUUUCUGAAAUCCAAAGCUUACUGUGAUUAUCAAAAUGGAUAAGUUUCUUCAUAUCUGGCAUUAAAAGAAUAUUUUUCUCGGUGAUACUGUAAAGGUGCCUCCCUGCCAUCUGUCCCUUUACUCAGUGGAGAAGGAGUGUGAGCUAAUACAAAGAUGGCCCUGAUCAACCCUGACUUGCCCUGUCACUUUGUUAGAAAUAUCCAAAGAUUUAAAAUUCAGUAUGCUCCAUUAAACAAAUUUCCCACAAAAUGCUGUGCCAUAAGAAACACUACAAGCUGAAAUCAUUAGAACAGCAGGUUCUGAAAAAUCCUGUAAAUUAUAAAAUUGGUAGUAGAAGGGACCUUAGAGGUUUCUAUAGCAGCCUUUUAUUAUUUGUGGACCCCUGAUCUUCCACAUGAAAAAUCAUGAGGAUAUCAGUUGAAAUGCAGAUUCUUGCUCCUCCCCCCACCUACCUAGUCAGAUGCUCUAAGUGAGAAUCUGGAAUCUGUACUCUUGUCAAAUUCUGCAGGUGAUCAUUUUACUUCCUCAAGUUUGAGAGUCAGUGAUGUAGGAAAGUACUGUCCAAUGUGGUAGUCUUAGCCACAUCUGGCUCCUAAGUCCUUGAAAUAGGACUACUGACAUGCUUGAAGCAUAAAAUAUACUUCAGAUUUUGAAAACACGUAAAAAUAAUAUCAAUAAUUUUAUAUUGAAUACAGUCUGAAACUGUAUUCUGGUUACACUGGAGGAAAUCAAAUGUGCUGGAGUUCCCAUCAUGGCUCAGUGGAAACUGGCAUCCAUGAGGAUGCAGGUUCAAUUCCUAACCUUGCUCAAGGCAUUGCCGUGAGCUGUGGUCUAGGUCUCAGAGGCGGUUCAGAUCCCAUGUCGCUGUGGCUGUGACAUAGGCCAGCAGCUACAGCUCCAAUUCGACCCUUAACCUGGGAAUCUCCAUAUGCUGUGGGUGCGGCUGUAAAAAGCAAAAGAAAAAAAAAAAAGUCAAAUAUGUUGCUAAUAACUGCAUAUCUUUCAUUCAUCUUCACACUGAAACACUGGUAUUUUCUUACAAAUUUGUUAGAAUCUUUAAGAGAUAUUCAGUUUUUUAAAAAGGAUAUUCACUUUUAAUUUUUAAGUGUGACAUCCAAGAACAUUGUAUUCUUGAUAUUGUAUUCUUAUUACAUAAAUAUAAUCUGUUUGUCAUAAGGAUAUGUACUUUAAUGUUAAUUUAAAAAGUUCAUCAAGUAAAUUUGAUGAUAUUUGAAUGCAUGAAUUUGAACAAUUACCACAGACUUUUAAGAUAGACUACUUUGCUAGCAAUAGCAGUUGACUGCUGUUGCGAAUGAGAUUAUAAACUGGUUUUUCCAUAUUGGGUAUGUGUGUACAUUCACACACAGACACACACACAUGAGCACAUGCACUUAACACAAUAACUAGCUAGAGCAUCAAGUUCCCUAUUCCACUAGAACAGACAGCAUAUCCCAAACACCCUUGCAAUUAUGUGAAAGCCACGUGACUUAAGGUGACUUAAGCGCUAAACAAUGGAAUCUAGGUGAAAAUGAUGAACCACAUUUUCAAAUGUUUUCUGUAAAACCCUCCCAUUCACAAGCUUUCAUUUUUUUUCCCCAUAAGAAAAUGAAAUAAAGAAAGAGCCAAGGACUUAGAAGAACAUGCCAUCACAAAAAUAAAAGGAACCAAGGAGCCUUAAGCAGAGGACAAUGACUCAGUAAAGCCUUCUAAAGAGGAUCACCCUUUUCAGAUUGUUGUAUGAGUAAAAAAUUAAAAUAUAAAAUAAUAGUAAAAAGAAGAAUAGUGUGAUAAGUCACAUUUUAGAAUUGUGUAAUGCAGUUAGGUUACCCUAACAAAUAUAUAUAUAUAUAUUUUAGAAUGCUUUCUUUUCCUUUUUAAAUCCAAAAAGGCAGUAUUUCAUAUGUAUUAUGUUCUUGGGAUAAAAUUACUUCUAGGAAAGUACAAUUUUAGAAAAACAAAACUCAUAACACACUAUUGCUUAUCUCAGACUGCUUUAACUCAUUUUCAUCUUUUCAUUAGAAAAAAUGCCUCAACGGUGUCAUCUUAAAAUACUUUUUGGAUAAAUAAAUUUUGGAUAGUUUUACAGAACAUUAUCAAGAAAACAUAUUUCUGUGUACCCACAUUGUUUGGCCAUUUUGGAUAUCAGUUUGGACUUGUUUGUUUUUUUGUUCUGUUUUUUACUUGCUUCUGUAAGAUUUCCAUUUCUUUACCUACUUAAAAAAUUAAUUACUUGAACUGAUGGAUCUGUAUUUUAAAGAUAUGAAAGAGACAAAAUGCAAUUCAGACAAAAUAAUUAAUUACACAAGACACACAAAAAAGGCACACAUUUAAAUUAUAUUGAUCAAAGAAAUUUCUUUGCAGCUUUUUCUGAUAAAGUUGGUUGCUCAUUUCAUUGUGUUACUGUUUGUUAAAUUUUGAAGCAUCUUCCUAAAUUGUUAUUUAUCAAGCUCUGUUUAUAAAUCUGGUUUUUAUGGAAGCUUGAUUUAGGCUCAACUUCAGUGAUUUCACAUAAUUUCUCUACAUCAACAAUGCAAUUGAAAUAAAACCUCCAAAAAAGAAAUAAGUAAAGUCUAGGAGAAAAAUAAAUAAAUUGUAGUAUUUUUACCCCUUGGCUUUGACUAUAAAUUAAUCAGAUAGCACAAAGAGGAGGCAACAGAUGAGAAAAUGAGUUUCAAUUGAAUGACUUCCUUUAAAGGACCGAAAUCUAAUUUGGAUGAACUUUUGCUUGGUUGUGUCAAUUUGAUCAAGACAGAAAUAAAACAAAUAUUCACAUCAGUUCUACCAUUUAUAUAACCUCUACUGUUUACAUUUUAUGGAAUGUUUAAUUUUUAAUCACACAUUUUUUGUUGUAUAUAAAACAAAUGUAGUAAGAAUAAAGCACCUCAUAAAUAUUUUAAAGUAAACUCAAUGUAGUGAGUAUAAAGCAACUCAUACAUAUUUUAAAGUAAACUCGAUUUUAAGACCAAGGAUCUUGUGAUUAUAAUUUUAGGUAGUCUCUCUUCUUAUGUAAUAACAGUUGAUCUCAUGUUUUCCAUCUACCAUAAAAAGGAAGAAAUGAGAAAGAUUGUGCUGAAGACCACUAAUUGGAAUCAACAUCACAAGCCUCAGCCACACUUCCAGGGUUGGGAUUUUGUUGCUUCAUGCUCAGAACAUUCUGGGGUUUAUUCACAUACAUCUAGUAAAAAACAAAAACAAACCAAAAAAAAGUUAGGGACUGAGAAAAGAUUCUAUAAGUAAAAGUGAUGAGAGAGGCCAUUCCUGGAGAAAAACAGUCCCCAUCUUGUAAAGUCAAAAAGAAGUUUCUUAAGGAGUUGGGAGUAUUUUUUAUGAAGUCUUAUAACUAUACACAAGCCAAAAGAAACUCAGCAAUUUCAAGACAUAUGUCCAUCCGCAUCUGGACAUAUUUCUAUCAGUUUUGAGCUCCAAUUUCCUCUGACCUUGACACUCCUUACCAACUAGAUGAAAGUCAAAAGUGCUGUCCUCAGUCAAAAAGGGCUCUCGUUAUAUUAUAAAUUGAGUAGCCAACAAAUUCUGAACU